AUUGAACGCUGGCGGCAUGCCUUACACAUGCAAGUCGAACGGCAGCACGGGGCAACCUGGUGGCGAGUGGCGAACGGGUGAGUAAUGCAUCGGAACGUGCCAUUGAGUGGGGGAUAACGUAGCGAAAGUUGCGCUAAUACCGCAUAUUCUGUGAGCAGGAAAGCAGGGGACCGCAAGGCCUUGCGCUCUUUGAGCGGCCGAUGUCAGAUUAGCUAGUUGGUGAGGUAACGGCUUACCAAGGCGACGAUCUGUAGCGGGUCUGAGAGGAUGAUCCGCCACACUGGAACUGAGACACGGUCCAGACUCCUACGGGAGGCAGCAGUGGGGAAUUUUGGACAAUGGGCGGAAGCCUGAUCCAGCCAUGCCGCGUGAGUGAAGAAGGCCUUCGGGUUGU
Molecule: ribosomal RNA, 394 nt
Filed under: uncultured bacterium
Lineage: Bacteria
Description: bacterial SSU rRNA
Rfam family: Bacterial small subunit ribosomal RNA
Source: RNAcentral